Long non-coding RNA from Haliotis rufescens (red abalone), 833 nucleotides. RefSeq lists it as uncharacterized. The record is from RefSeq and is a predicted model, not a curated record. The transcript is spliced from 3 exons. NCBI's taxonomy places the organism in Eukaryota, Metazoa, Mollusca, Gastropoda, Lepetellida, Haliotidae.
UUGGACACACGUCGGGGAACUGCUAUUGGGUGGAACGUACUCCCACACCAGGAUAUAUGGGACAAAGCUACUCCGCCUAGAGGAUGUAAGAGAAAUAUUUCCACUCAUGAAUAUCUAGUUUCAUAGACGUCAACGCGGCCCACCACUGAACAGCUCACAUGACUGCCAGUCGUUCUUCUUAAGGGGGAUUGACGCUUCUGACAACAGACUAUCAAUUCACUGCACCACCAGCAACUACUUCCGACACCAUUGCGACCACUGCUCAAAUUACAACACCACGACAGAAACAAUUUAAUAAGUGUCCACGUGACAUGUAUGGCUUUAUAUAAUGGGACGGAUUGUCGCUGUUUGUCAACACAUCACUUUUACUCCACACACUGACACGGAGCGUCGCACGCGCUGCUGCAAUUAUGAAGAAGAUAUCAGUUCCAGCCCUGUUGAUGUUGCCGUGUCUCCUGAUGACCUUUUUCAGAGUUAUCUCCUCACAAGCUCCGUGCGUCGACGCAGACACAAGCCGGAAGUGCUACUACUGCAGCGGCCAUUACGACAACCCGUCCGUUUAUAACGAAUGUUGCGAGAACCCGGUUCUUCGACGACAUUGUACCGAUGAGGUGUGGGUUGCACCCAAAAGAGGAAAUUGGUGAAGAUCUGGAACAAAAACAAUCGGUGAAAAACACAAUGUUAUUAUUUGGUGGACAUGCCGGCGUCUUUGAAGAACAGUAACUCUUCCUCAGUUGCGUGUGUGAAACAGUCCCUCCAAAAGUGGUAUCCAGGAACGCUUUCCCUCUAAAGCAUUAUACCUAUGAGGAAAUAAAUGCGUUAUUUCAUUUUCA